This 947-nucleotide small RNA is filed under the name Pan troglodytes (chimpanzee). RNAcentral's name for it is "processed transcript". The record is from RNAcentral. Lineage: Eukaryota; Metazoa; Chordata; Mammalia; Primates; Hominidae.
UUUUCUGCAUUGCUGAUGGGAAUCAUCUUGAUGGAGAAAUCCAAGGGCAAGGGACAGCAGCUGGGCUCUGCUCCUGACGGGACCUGGACUUCACCAUCGACCUGGACUUCAAGGGCCAGCUGUGCGAGCUGUCCUGCUCCACCGACUACCGGAUGCGCUGAGGCCCGGCUCUCCUGCCCUGCACGGGCCCAGGGGCUGAGCGUUCCUAGGCGGUUUCGGGGCUCCCCCUUCCUCUCCCUCCCUCCCGCAGAAGGGGGUUUUAGGGGCCUGGGCUGGGGGGAUGGGGAGGGCACAUCGUGACUGUGUUUUUCAUAACUUAUGUUUUUAUAUGGUUGCAUUUACGCCAAUAAAUCCUCAGCUGGGGUCUGGCUUUGUUUCCUGGGGGCAAAGGAGGUUUGGGGUUCCUUUCACAGGUACUGCAGUGCCAGCCUCAGCAGUGGGGGGACCGGCCUUGGCACCUGCUGGUGGCUGCCAUUCUGUGGAUCUGCGUCUCCUGUCCCCCGUCUCUAGGCCUCUUGCUCCCCUUCCUUGGUUCCUUCUCAGGGUCCCUGUCCUCCACAGCUGUCUCUCAGGGUCUUUGUCCAACUCUUUUUAUCCCUCUCCUGGGUCUGCGCCCCUCCCCUCUGCGGUACCCCUGUGUCCUGCCUAGUAGGGGAUGGGGGUGGCUUUCCAGCACAGCCAGCCCUCAAGUUUCCCAGAACAGUCUCCCCACCUCCCCCCAACACUCGACAUUGUUCCUCUCUGGCUGUUUUUUCCUGUUCGGGUCCCUUCAAGGCCCAACUGUGCCCAGCCCUCUGCAGCUGGGGACACUGAGUGGGUUGGGGGUGUAUGUUUGCGAGGAUAGAAUUUCUCAUGGGGGAGUGGCCCUGCUUCCUCCCCUAGAAUGGCUUGGGGCUUAGGGCUGGGGACUUGCCCUCCAUGGAGGUCAGUGGGAGUCGCAGCUGUAA